CGCCUCUUGACAACCAUAAGAGGUCCAGCCUGCCCAGUGACUUUGUUCAACGGCCGCGGUAUCCUAACCGUGCGAAGGUAGCGUAAUCACUUGUCCUCUAAAUAAGGACCAGUAUGAACGGCAUCACGAGGGUUAUACUGUCUCCUUUUUCCAAUCAGUGAACCUAAUCUCCCCGUGAAGAAGCGGGGAUAAAACUAUAAGACGAGAAGACCCUAUGAAGCUUAAAACUAAGUAACAAUCGCUUGUAAAUUAUUUCAUUUCAGAAUAUCCACACAUAUCCUAGCUACAUGUUUACUAGUUUUAGGUUGGGGUGACCACGGAGAAAAAAAUAACCUCCACAUUGAACGGAACUUAGUUUCCUGAGCCAUGAGCUACAGCUCUAAGCACCCUAAAAUCGACAUUAAUUGACCCAAUAUUUUGAUCAACGAACCAAGUUACUCUAGGGAUAACAGCGCAAUCCGCUUAAAGAGCCCCUAUCGACAAGCGGGUUUACGACCUCGAUGUUGGAUCAGGGUAUCCUAGUGGUGCAGCCGCUACUAAAGGUUCGUUUGUUCAACGAUUAAAACCCU
RNAcentral lists this ribosomal RNA (569 nucleotides) under Duellmanohyla salvavida. RNAcentral's name for it is "partial 16S ribosomal RNA". It matches the Rfam family "Bacterial large subunit ribosomal RNA", at positions 1817 to 2597 of the family's 2925-position model. The record is from RNAcentral. Lineage: Eukaryota; Metazoa; Chordata; Amphibia; Anura; Hylidae.